GACUAUCCUUACCAUGCCAUAAGAAAAUAAGUUUUAUCAACUAUAAAAUUUGAGUUGUAUAGUUGAUGGUCUAAGAAAACAAAUUAUACCAUUUUCUCGGUUCACUGUGCUUUUAUAAUUGCGUGUUUUAGUUAAUUUAUGAGUAUGGUUUAUAAAUAUCAAUAUAAUACAUUUUCGUAACACAGCAAUGAAACAUAGGGUCUGAUUGGUAAUGGCUGUAGCUUUAAAAUUUUUGCUGUAGAAAAAAAUCUGUAGACUUUUUGCUUUGGCUUUAGAUUUUAUUGCUGUAGAAUUUGUGGAAAGCAGUAAAAAAUUGCUUUGGAUAUUUGGCUCUGUAGAGCACUUGUACAGCUGUAGAUUAUUUUAAAAGCUGUGGUUUCAAAAAAAAAAUUAAAGCUUGAUUGCUCUGAAUUUAGUGCUGUAGAAAUAAAUAGGGCUGUGGACAGCACCUACAUCAACUACCAAUCACCCCCAUAAGUAUCGAUCAUAUAACCGGACAACCUUUAACAAUCACUCCUCUAGCGGUUGGACAUCUAGCUAGAUCACAAU
This 549-nucleotide long non-coding RNA is filed under the name Brassica napus (rape). RNAcentral describes it as "long non-coding RNA (BNAP_LNC001890)". Lineage: Eukaryota; Viridiplantae; Streptophyta; Magnoliopsida; Brassicales; Brassicaceae. The record is from RNAcentral.